This 410-nucleotide ribosomal RNA is filed under the name uncultured bacterium. RNAcentral's name for it is "bacterial SSU rRNA". It matches the Rfam family "Bacterial small subunit ribosomal RNA", at positions 954 to 1364 of the family's 1533-position model. The record is from RNAcentral.
GCAGAACGCGAAGAACCUUACCCACCUUUGACAUCCCGUGCUACCUAGAGAGAUCUAGGGUCCCUUCGGGGCGCGGAGACAGGUGCUGCAUGGCUGUCGUCAGCUCGUGUCGUGAGAUGUUGGGUUAAGUCCCGCAACGAGCGCAACCCUCGCUUCUAGUUGCCAGCAUUAAGUUGGGCACUCUAACAAGACUGCCGACCUUUAAGUCGGAGGAAGGUGGGGAUGACGUCAAGUCCUCAUGGCCCUUACGUCCAGGGCUACACACGUGCUACAAUGACCGGUACAAAGGGUUGCCAAACCGCGAGGUGGAGCCAAUCCCAAAAAGCCGGCCUCAGUACGGAUAAGAGUCUGCAACUCGACUCUUUGAAGGCGGAAUCGCUAGUAAUCCCUGAUCAGCAUAGCAGGGGGUG